AGUCGAGAAUCUUCCGCAAUGGGCGCAAGCCUGACGGAGCGACGCCGCGUGUGGGAUGAAGGCCUUCGGGUUGUAAACCACUGUCGUAGAGGAGGAAUGGCCAUAAGGUACUCCUUAUGGUUUGACCUAUUCUAGGAGGAAGGAUGGGCUAAGUCCGUGCCAGCAGCCGCGGUAAGACGGACCAUCCAAACGUUAUUCGGAAUUACUGGGCUUAAAGGGUGCGUAGGCGGCGCGGAAAGUUCGGUGUGAAAUCCCUCGGCUUAACCGAGGAAUGGCGCUGAAAACUACCGUGCUCGAGGAAGACAGAGGUAAGCGGAACAGCGGGUGGAGCGGUGAAAUGCGUUGAUAUCCGCUGGAACACCGGUGGCGAAAGCGGCUUACUGGGUCUUUUCUGACGCUGAGGCACGAAAGCUAGGGUAGCGAA
This 424-nucleotide ribosomal RNA is filed under the name uncultured Planctomycetaceae bacterium. Its description in RNAcentral is "bacterial SSU rRNA". It matches the Rfam family "Bacterial small subunit ribosomal RNA", at positions 353 to 772 of the family's 1533-position model. Lineage: Bacteria; Pseudomonadati; Planctomycetota; Planctomycetia; Planctomycetales; Planctomycetaceae. The record is from RNAcentral.